Molecule: long non-coding RNA, 329 nt
Organism: Branchiostoma belcheri (Belcher's lancelet)
Lineage: Eukaryota; Metazoa; Chordata; Leptocardii; Amphioxiformes; Branchiostomatidae
Exons: 3
Source: RefSeq, a predicted model, not a curated record
GGUGGAACCCUGACCCCAGGGCCUGAAGAUUCCGGACUUUACAUCUGCGCAUGUGCUGAUGGAUGGCAUGGUGUAUUCUGUGAUCAGGAGUGUACCGGUACGUACGGUCCUGACUGUGGUAUACCCUGUGGACAUUGUUACGGGAACCAGACCUGUGACAGGUUCACCGGGACAUGUCCGACCGAAGGAACUUUCGUGUGUGCGGCUGGAUACUAUGGUGACAAAUGUGAUCGCGAGUGUCCAGACGGUUUGUAUGGAGCUGACUGUACCCAAACCUGUCACUGUGCAAACGGUUCAGCCUGUAACAAGACGACUGGAGUAUGUAAUGG